This 432-nucleotide ribosomal RNA is filed under the name uncultured Planctomycetota bacterium. RNAcentral's name for it is "bacterial SSU rRNA". It matches the Rfam family "Bacterial small subunit ribosomal RNA", at positions 28 to 446 of the family's 1533-position model. Lineage: Bacteria; Pseudomonadati; Planctomycetota. The record is from RNAcentral.
AACGAACGCUGGCGGCGGGGUUUAGGCAUGCAAGUCGCGCGAGAAAGGAGCAAUCCGAGUACAGCGGCGUAAGGGUGAGUAAUGGUUAGUCAACGUACCGAGCAGACGCGAAUAAUUUCCCGAAAGGGAUUGUAAUGCGCGAUGAGACCACGGGCUGUCCGCAGCUUGGGGUCAAAGGUCGGGGAUCCUUCGGGACCCGGCGCUGUUUGAGCGGACUAUCUCUGAUUAGCUAGUUGGCGGGGUAACGGCCCACCAAGGCGAUGAUCAGUAGCCGGGCUGAGAGGCUGUCCGGCCACACGGGCACUGAGAUACUGGCCCGACUCCUACGGGAGGCUGCAGUCGCGAAUUUUUCACAAUGGGCGCAAGCCUGAUGAAGCCACGCCGCGUGCGGGAUGAAGGCCCUCUGGGUUGUAAACCGCUGUCGAGGGAGGG